UACAGGCGUGCAUCACCAUGCUUGGCUAAUUUUUAUAGAGAUGAGGUUUCACCAUGUUGCACAGGCUGGUCUUGAAAUCCUGACCUCAGGUGGUCUGCCUGCCUCAUCCUCCCAAAAUUGGAAUUAACAGGCGUGAGCCACCACGCCCAGCCAAGGGUUUUAAUCUUGCAGGGAUUUCAACAUUUGGGGUGCAACUUAAUUAUUUAAAAAAUAGAGACAGAUUCGUGCUAUGAUACUCAGGAUGGUCUUGAACUCCUGGGCCCAAGUGAUCCUCCUGCUUCAGCCUCUCAAAGUGUUGGAGUUACAGGCAUGAGCCACUGCUCCCCACCAGGGAUGCAAAUUACUUGAUACUCCUCUCUUCAGAAGGUGGGGUCCUGUGCCCCUCCUGAACCCAAGUGUGCUCUGUUACUACUUUGACCAGAUGUGACUCUGCCAUUUCUGGGCCUAGGCUUUUAAAGAUGGUCACUUCUCCAUUUCCUGUGCCUGGAACAUUCUCUGGGAGCCUUGACACCACAUUUGAAGUUGCCUAUUGGGGCUGGCAUGGUGACUCACGCCUGUAAUCCCAGCACUUCAGAAGGCCGAGGCAGGCAGAUCACAUGAAGUCAGGAGUUUGAGACCAGCCUAACCAACGUGGUAAAACCCCGUCUCUACUAAAAAUUACAAAAAUUAGAGGGGCGUGGUGGUGGGCACUUGUAAUCCCAGCUACUCAGGAGGCUGAGGCAGGAGAAUCAUUUGAACCUGGGAGGCGGAGGUUGCAGUGAGGUGAAAUCACGCCACUGCACUCCAGCCUGUGCAACAGAGCGAGGCUCUGUCUCAAAAAAAAAUAGUUGACUGUCGGUUCGGCAUGGUGGCUCAUGCCUCUAGUCCCAGCACUUUGGGAUGCUGAGGCAGGAAGAUUACUGGAGCUCAGGAGUUCGAGACCAGCUUGGGCAAUAUAGUGAAGCCCUAUCUUUACAAAAAACGAAAAAUUAGCUCAGCUACUCAGGAGCCUGAAGUGGAGGAUCAUUUGUGCCCAGGAGGCGGAGGUCGCAUCGAGCUGUGAUCAUGCCACUAUACUCCAUCCUGGGCAACACAGUGAGACGGCAGAAAAAAAAAAAUAGUUGACUACUGACUCUCAUAUCUAAUUGCCCACCUGACAACUCCCCUGAGUGGCCUAAUGGACACAGAGAACUGAUCUACUCCAUUUUCACCCCCAAGCUGGCCCCUCUCCUGCAGUCUUCCCAUCUCAGUCGAUGGCAACACCAUCCUCUUAGUUGCUCAGACUGAAAACCUAGCAGCCAUCCUGGAUUUCUCUCACACUGCCUAUUCAACGUGUGAAUGCAUGAGUGGAAAGCUGAGUUAGCACUCGUGACUGGCCGGGGUCAACUCUGACAUUCACUCCCACUUUCCGCGCGCUGAUUUGUCUCUGAGCGGAUGAAUGUUGGGCCCUGGAGGGCGGGGCCGGGGAGGCGGGCUUGGAGCGAGGGGGCGGGGCAGGCGCCACGGAAACGCGCUCGCGCCGGCGCCGAACCACAACUCCCGGCGGCCCCCGCGCUCCCGGGUGGCAAGAUGGUGGCGCGCAGGAGGAAGCUCGCAGCGCGGGACUCGGAGGACCGUAUCCCGAGCCCACCGUGCUACGCAGGAGAGCCUGUCCCACCUCCUGUCCACCUGUGGCCCUCUGCAGUCUGUAGAGUUGCAGGAGAAGCCGGACCUGGCCGACAGCCCAAAGGAGUCAAGGUCGAAGUUUUUUCAUCCCAAGCCAGUUCCGGGGUUCCGGGUAGGCUACGUGGUGUUCCAGAAGCCAAGUGGGGUGUCAGCGGCCUUGGCCCUGAAGGGCCCCCUGCUGGUGUCCACAGAGAGCCACCCUGUGAAGACUGGCAUUCACAAGUGGAUCAGUGACUACGCAGACUCCGUGCCUGACCCUGAGGCGCUGAGGGUGGAAGUGGACACGUUCAUGGAGGCGUAUGACCAGAAGAUCGCUGAGGAAGAAGCUAAGGCCAAGAAGGAGGAGGGGGUCCCUGACGAGGAGAGCUGGGUGAAGGUGACCCGCUGGGGCCGGCAGCCUGUGCUCCCCCGGACUGAAGCAGCCAGCUUGCGGUUGCUGGAGAGGGAGAGACGGAAGCGCGCCCGAAAAGAGCUGCUCAACUUCUAUGCCUGGCAGCACCGAGAGAGCAAGAUGGAGCAUCUAGCGCAGCUGCGCAAGAAGUUCGAGGAUGACAAGCAGAGGAUCCAGCUGCUGCGGGCCCAGUGCAAAUUCCGACCCUACUGAGCCGUGAGAGCUGCAGUGGAUGGCUGGAGGUGCAGGGCCAGGAGGAACACGAGGGCACCUCAGGCAGAGUGGGCUCCUCCCUCCUUCAUGGGAACACCUCGAGAUGGUUUCCAGAAAGCCAGUAUUGUGGAGCUUGAACUUAGAUGAGAAGAUAAAGACCUCAUCUUUGCUGCUCUCUCCCCAUCCUGCACCACCAGCUCACACCUCCAGGCCUGUCCUGCCAGCUCCUUUCUCCUCCUGGAGUCCGUGGGAGCAGCUCCCGCACCUCCACUGCUUUGCUCAAAAGUCACCUUCUCAUGAGGCCCACCCAGACCCUCCUAUUCAAAAGAGGAAGUGGAGCUGCAGCCUCUCCAACAAUGCUCGCUGCCCUCCCCACUCUGCGUCCUCCACGAGCCCUCCCCUCCUCACACACUCUGUAACCCACCCGGAAGACCUCACAGACAAGCCAACGGGCUCCUGAGACUCCCAACAGCCAGAGAGGUGGGAACAGAUACUCCCUCCUCACAGCCCUCGGAAACAACAAGCCCUGCCGAGGCCUUGACCUUGGACCCUGAACUCCGGAACUGUGGGGGAAUGUGUCUUGGUUGUUUAAGCUCCAGAUUCUGGAGGAUCAGGUUGGACGAUGGGGACGGGGGAGGGAGGUUAUCCCAGUUCUCUGCCCGGCUGCAGAAUAGAAUGUGAACUCUCAGGUGCUGUGGGGCUGGAGGGAAGCAUUUGGGAGGAACCUACAUUGUCCUUGAAGCACUGGGUUGGGGGUUCUGGCUGGGUAUUGUCUUCUUUUAGGUUAACGCUGGGUCCCAAAAGGCCACAACUGCUGCGAAGGGCUUGUCCACACACAACGUUCCAGCCAGCUGACCACUUCCCCAGACCCAGGGGUCACCUCCUUCUCAGCCCUCCCUCUUGCCUGUCCCCUCACUCCCGACACCCACAUAGGGGUGCCUGGUCAGCAUCCUGCAUUCAUUGUUUCCUGUGACCUGGGCCUAAUCCAAUUCCCCAGGCUCAUCCCAGAUUAGCUCACUUCCGUGCCUGGGGCUCCCUAGGUCAGCCAUCUGUGAGGCAUGUCCAGGAAGCCUGGGCCCGGGGUCCUUGACCUCCCCUCCCCAUGAUGGGUUUCCAGGGAGGCAAGAUAAAGGUUCACCCAAGAUGAUCACGAAGACCCAACUGGUCCCAAACUGGCGACCCGAGGCCAAAACAGCCCACAGGUGCCGCUCCUUAGACCCUCAGGGGAUGCUAUCCAUUUCUGGACUCAUGACACCUAAAAAUACAUAGCUCAGCAGAUCAACUGCAGAGCUGAGCAACUGGCAAUUCUGGCCACACGAGACUGAAUUCCCACUUGAUUAGCACCGGCCCAGCUGCCUACCAGGGUGGGCUGUCUCCAGCUCCAAAGUCCCUACGCAUCCCAUAGCCUCCCUCCCGGCCAGCACCCUCAACUCCACAACACACGCCCCCACCCCCACCCCCAGGUGCUGGAGUUUCUGACCCCCGCCUCACUCAGCACUUUAGAAAGGGAAGGCACAUGCCCACCUCGCCUGGUCCGAUGAGCGCAAAAAACCCAAGACCUUGUUUGUCACCUGAGCAAACAAGGGGAGUCUAAAAGGGAAGGGACCGUCCCAAGAUCACUGAGCUGGCAAUGUCAGGAAGCCAGGUUGUGUUGCCCAACUUAGCACAUUUUCCAUCCGACGACACCAUCUCCCUCCAGCUGUUCCCUCACCUUGGGAGAGCUGCCUCCUGGACCAACCCUCUGGAGCAGGCCCCGCCAUGAGUCUCUUUCUAGAGGACCAUGUAUUUCCUUCGUUACAUCUAGAAAAUGUCUAACCGCUCAUGUGCCUGUUCACCUGUUUAUCAUCUACUUCUCUUCCAAGAAUCUAGGCCUCUGCCCAGACUCUUCCUUGCUCAACUCCAGGGGGCGCCAUUUGUGCGCAGCCACCCCUGGAGUUGUGAUGCUGGAGGUCUGGCCCCACUGAGAGAGGGACAGUCGGCUCUUGCUCACUGCAGCCUCAUUGAGCUGGGCCUGUAGCAGACCCUUAGAAAAGACUUCCUGGGCCAGGCACAGUAGCUCACACCUAUAGUCCCAGCUACUCAGGAGGCUGAGGUGGGACGAUCUCUGGAGCCCGGGAGGUGGAGGCUGCAGUGAGCCAUGAUGGUGCCACCACACUCCAGCCUAGGUGACAGAGUGAGACCUCGUCUCAUAAGAAAAAAGAACCAAAGAAAGAAAAAAAAUUCCUGGGUAAAAAGCAAAGUACACAAAUCGCUUGUGCCAGCUGCUGCUCUGAAACCAAGAUACACCAGCUCCACCUCUCCAUUGUGAAAAGCCUCUCCCAAGUCACUCAGCCCCUGGGACGUCCUCACAGCCUGCCCCUGGCGCUGGGCACCCACCCCAGGUCCAGCAGAGCAUGGCCGCGACAUUCACCAACAUUUAGUGCAAGACACCUGACCAAACUCUCCCAGAGCGUGGCUUUCUGGGAUGUGCAGUAGCUGUAUGGCCUCACCCGGGUUGCUUGGCAAUGCUGAGCCUUGGUUUCUCCUGUUGUAAAUUGGAUGAGGGUGCGGCAGGAGGGGGAUUCAGUGAGAUGCUGUUUGCAAAGCAUAUGGUAUCCUGCCUGGUCUAGAGCAAGUCCUUGACAUCCUCGGUAAGAAUAGUGACAAAUAUAAAAUGGCUUUGGACAGCAGAGUCCCUUACCUGUGGCCACCUUCUUGGUUCCUCUUUGCAGGAGGGGCUCCCCGCACUCCUCACUCAAGUGGCUAUUGCUCUUCAGUAACCUGGGGAGACAGAAGGAUGCUGGGUGCCUGGAGGCCAAUAAAAAGGAGGUCAGAUAAAAAGGAGAGGAGGGCCGGGGACGGUGGCUCAUGCCUGUAAUCCCAGCACUUUGGGAGGCCGAGAUGGGCAGAUCACCUGA
RNA transcript from Pongo pygmaeus (Bornean orangutan), 5145 nucleotides. It is a transcript of the gene named ribosomal RNA-processing protein 7 homolog A-like, with no coding region annotated. The transcript is spliced from 7 exons. Lineage: Eukaryota; Metazoa; Chordata; Mammalia; Primates; Hominidae. The record is from RefSeq and is a predicted model, not a curated record.